RNAcentral lists this ribosomal RNA (340 nucleotides) under uncultured Pseudomonadota bacterium. RNAcentral's name for it is "bacterial SSU rRNA". It matches the Rfam family "Bacterial small subunit ribosomal RNA", at positions 29 to 351 of the family's 1533-position model. Lineage: Bacteria; Pseudomonadati; Pseudomonadota. The record is from RNAcentral.
AACGAACGCUGGCGGCGUGCUUAAGACAUGCAAGUCGAACGGUAAGGCCCCCUUCGGGGGGUACACGAGUGGCGCACGGGUGAGUAACACGUGGGUAAUCUACCUUCGGGUCUGGGACAACUCCGGGAAACUGGAGCUAAUACCGGAUGAGACCACGAGGUCCUCGGACUUCGCGGGAAAAGAUGGCCUCUCCUUGGAAGCUAUCGCCCGUAGAUGAGCCCGCGCCCCAUUAGCUAGUUGGUGAGGUAACGGCUCACCAAGGCAACGAUGGGUAGCUGGUCUGAGAGGAUGAUCAGCCACACUGGAACUGACACACGGUCCAGACUCCUACGGGAGGCAG